This 262-nucleotide ribosomal RNA is filed under the name uncultured archaeon. RNAcentral's name for it is "partial 16S ribosomal RNA". It matches the Rfam family "Archaeal small subunit ribosomal RNA", at positions 748 to 1009 of the family's 1478-position model. The record is from RNAcentral.
UAGCCGUAAACGAUACUCGCUAGGUGUCGGCCACGGUGCGACCGUUGUCGGUGCCGUAGGGAAGCCGUGAAGCGAGCCACCUGGGAAGUACGGCCGCAAGGCUGAGACUUAAAGGAAUUGGCCGGGGGAGCACCACAACGGGUGGAGCUUGCGGUUUAAUUGGAUUCAACGCCGGAAAUCUUACCGGGACCGACAGCAACAUGAAGGCCAGGCUGAAGACUUUGCCGGAUUAGCUGAGAGGUGGUGCAUGGCGUAGUCGUGU